Molecule: ribosomal RNA, 403 nt
Filed under: bacterium
Lineage: Bacteria
Description: partial 16S ribosomal RNA
Rfam family: Bacterial small subunit ribosomal RNA
Source: RNAcentral
UGGGGAAUAUUGCACAAUGGGGGAAACCCUGAUGCAGCGACGCCGCGUGAACGAAGAAGGUAUUCGUAUCGCAAAGUUCUGUCCUAUGGGAAGAUAAUGACAGUACCAUAGAAGAAAGCUCCGGCUAAAUACGUGCCAGCAGCCGCGGUAAUACGUAUGGAGCGAGCGUUGUCCGGAAUUAUUGGGCGUAAAGGGUACGCAGGCGGUUUAAUAAGUCGAAUGUUAAAGAUCGGGGCUCAACCCCGUAAAGCAUUGGAAACUGAUAAACUUGAGUAGUGGAGAGGAAAGUGGAAUUCCUAGUGUAGUGGUGAAAUACGUAGAUAUUAGGAGGAAUACCAGUAGCGAAGGCGACUUUCUGGACACAAACUGACGCUGAGGUACGAAAGCGUGGGGAGCAAACAGG